AGUGAACGCUGGCGGUAGGCCUAACACAUGCAAGUCGAACGGCAGCACAGUAAGAGCUUGCUCUUACGGGUGGCGAGUGGCGGACGGGUGAGGAAUACAUCGGAAUCUACUUUUUCGUGGGGGAUAACGUAGGGAAACUUACGCUAAUACCGCAUACGACCUACGGGUGAAAGCAGGGGAUCUUCGGACCUUGCGCGACUGAAUGAGCCGAUGUCGGAUUAGCUAGUUGGCGGGGUAAAGGCCCACCAAGGCGACGAUCCGUAGCUGGUCUGAGAGGAUGAUCAGCCACACUGGAACUGAGACACGGUCCAGACUCCUACGGGAGGCAGCAGUGGGGAAUAUUGGACAAUGGGCGCAAGCCUGAUCCAGCCAUACCGCGUGGGUGAAGAAGGCCUUCGGGUUGUAAAGCCCUUUUGUUAGGAAAGAAAAGCAGCAGGUUAAUACCCCGCUGUUCUGACGGUACCCAAAGAAUAAGCACCGGCUAACUUCGUG
This 492-nucleotide ribosomal RNA is filed under the name uncultured bacterium. RNAcentral describes it as "partial 16S ribosomal RNA". It matches the Rfam family "Bacterial small subunit ribosomal RNA", at positions 29 to 507 of the family's 1533-position model. The record is from RNAcentral.